This 70-nucleotide transfer RNA is filed under the name Neogymnocrinus richeri. RNAcentral describes it as "tRNA-Asp". It matches the Rfam family "tRNA". Rfam says of the family: Transfer RNA (tRNA) molecules are approximately 80 nucleotides in length. Their secondary structure includes four short double-helical elements and three loops (D, anti-codon, and T loops). Further hydrogen bonds mediate the characteristic L-shaped molecular structure. tRNAs have two regions of fundamental functional importance: the anti-codon, which is responsible for specific mRNA codon recognition, and the 3' end, to which the tRNAs corresponding amino acid is attached (by aminoacyl-tRNA synthetases). tRNAs cope with the degeneracy of the genetic code in two manners: having more than one tRNA (with a specific anti-codon) for a particular amino acid; and 'wobble' base-pairing, i.e. permitting non-standard base-pairing at the 3rd anti-codon position. The record is from RNAcentral. Lineage: Eukaryota; Metazoa; Echinodermata; Crinoidea; Cyrtocrinida; Sclerocrinidae.
AGAAAAUUAGUUAAAUAUAUAAUAGUGGGCUGUCAAACCAUAGUUACUAAAUUAAAAUUAGUAUUUUCUG